This 293-nucleotide ribosomal RNA is filed under the name uncultured bacterium. Its description in RNAcentral is "partial 16S ribosomal RNA". It matches the Rfam family "Bacterial small subunit ribosomal RNA", at positions 29 to 310 of the family's 1533-position model. The record is from RNAcentral.
AACGAACGUUAGCGGCGCGCUUAACACAUGCAAGUCGAGCGAGAAAGGGGCAACCCCGGUAAAGCGGCGCACGGGUGAGUAACACGUAGGUAAUCUACCUCCAGGUGGUGGAUAACCUUCCGAAAGGAGGGCUAAUACAGCAUGAGACCACGAACUCGAAAGGGUUUGAGGUCAAAGUCGGCCUCUUCAUGAAAGCUGACGCCAGGAGAUGAGCCUGCGGCCCAUCACGGUAGUUGGUAGGAAUGGCCUACCAAGCCAAAGACGGGUAGCUGGUCUGAGAGGAUGAUCAGCCA